GACCUCGUAGCUCAGUUGGCAGAGCAUUGGGCUAGUAUUCCAAAGGUCGUAGGUUCGAUUCCCACCGUGGCCA
RNAcentral lists this transfer RNA (73 nucleotides) under Paramuricea clavata. It matches the Rfam family "tRNA". From Rfam's summary of the family: Transfer RNA (tRNA) molecules are approximately 80 nucleotides in length. The record is from Rfam by way of RNAcentral. Lineage: Eukaryota; Metazoa; Cnidaria; Anthozoa; Malacalcyonacea; Plexauridae.